Molecule: transfer RNA, 70 nt
Filed under: Sorineuchora nigra
Lineage: Eukaryota; Metazoa; Arthropoda; Insecta; Blattodea; Pseudophyllodromiidae
Description: tRNA-Lys
Source: RNAcentral
AACUAGAUGACUGAAAGCAAGUAAUGGUCUCUUAAACCACCUAAUAGUAAAUUAGCGAUUACUUCUAGUA